This 427-nucleotide ribosomal RNA is filed under the name uncultured bacterium. RNAcentral's name for it is "partial 16S ribosomal RNA". It matches the Rfam family "Bacterial small subunit ribosomal RNA", at positions 355 to 774 of the family's 1533-position model. The record is from RNAcentral.
UGGGGAAUAUUGGACAAUGGGCGAAAGCCUGAUCCAGCCAUGCCGCGUGUGUGAAGAAGGUCUUCGGAUUGUAAAGCACUUUAAGUUGGGAGGAAGGGCAUUAACCUAAUACGUUAGUGUUUUGACGUUACCGACAGAAUAAGCACCGGCUAACUCUGUGCCAGCAGCCGCGGUAAUACAGAGGGUGCAAGCGUUAAUCGGAAUUACUGGGCGUAAAGCGCGCGUAGGUGGUUUGUUAAGUUGGAUGUGAAAUCCCCGGGCUCAACCUUGUAACUGCAUUCAAAACUUACUGACUAGAGUAUGGUAUAGGGUGGUGGAAUUUCCUGUGUAGCGGUGAAAUGCGUAGAUAUAGGAAGGAACACCAGUGGCGAAGGCGACCACCUGGACUAAUACUGACACUGAGGUGCGAAAGCGUGGGGAGCAAACA